This 966-nucleotide ribosomal RNA is filed under the name Alternaria sp. Its description in RNAcentral is "partial large subunit ribosomal RNA". It matches the Rfam family "Eukaryotic large subunit ribosomal RNA", at positions 1 to 950 of the family's 3401-position model. The record is from RNAcentral. Lineage: Eukaryota; Fungi; Ascomycota; Dothideomycetes; Pleosporales; Pleosporaceae.
AGAAAGCAAAGAUACGUAGUAGCGACGACGCUUUUGAAGCGAACAGAAAAAGGACGUGGGUUUCUUCGAACUAGCAUAUCAAUAAGCGGAGGAAAAGAAACCAACAGGGAUUGCCCUAGUAACGGCGAGUGAAGCGGCAACAGCUCAAAUUUGAAAUCUGGCUCUUUUAGAGUCCGAGUUGUAAUUUGCAGAGGGCGCUUUGGCUUUGGCAGCGGUCCAAGUUCCUUGGAACAGGACGUCACAGAGGGUGAGAAUCCCGUACGUGGUCGCUGGCUAUUGCCGUGUAAAGCCCCUUCGACGAGUCGAGUUGUUUGGGAAUGCAGCUCUAAAUGGGAGGUACAUUUCUUCUAAAGCUAAAUAUUGGCCAGAGACCGAUAGCGCACAAGUAGAGUGAUCGAAAGAUGAAAAGCACUUUGGAAAGAGAGUCAAACAGCACGUGAAAUUGUUGAAAGGGAAGCGCUUGCAGCCAGACUUGCUUGCAGUUGCUCAUCCGGGCUUUUGCCCGGUGCACUCUUCUGCAGGCAGGCCAGCAUCAGUUUGGGCGGUAGGAUAAAGGUCUCUGUCACGUACCUCUCUUCGGGGAGGCCUUAUAGGGGAGACGACAUACUACCAGCCUGGACUGAGGUCCGCGCAUCUGCUAGGAUGCUGGCGUAAUGGCUGUAAGCGGCCCGUCUUGAAACACGGACCAAGGAGUCUAACAUCUAUGCGAGUGUUUGGGUGUCAAGCCCGAGCGCGUAAUGAAAGUGAACGGAGGUAGGAACCCGCAAGGGUGCACUAUCGACCGAUCCUGAUGUCUUCGGAAGGAUUUGAGUAAGAGCAUGGCUGUUGGGACCCGAAAGAUGGUGAACUAUGCUUGAAUAGGGUGAAGCCAGAGGAAACUCUGGUGGAGGCUCGCAGCGGUUCUGACGUGCAAAUCGAUCGUCAAAUUUGGGCAUAGGGCGAAAGACUAAUCGAUCUUCUAUGCAA